Molecule: ribosomal RNA, 505 nt
Filed under: uncultured bacterium
Lineage: Bacteria
Description: SSU rRNA
Rfam family: Bacterial small subunit ribosomal RNA
Source: RNAcentral
AGGACGAACGCUGGCGGCGCGCUUAACACAUGCAAGUCGAGCGAGAACCAGUCCUUCGGGGCUGGGGACAGCGGCGAACGGGUGAGUAACACGUGGAUAAUCAACCCUCGACACUGGGAUAGCCCGGGGAAACCCGGAUUAAUACCGGAUGUCCCAUCCGCCUCUCGAGGCGGCUGGAAAAGGUAGCUUCGGCCUCUGGUCGGGGACGAGUCCGCGGCGGAUUAGCUUGUUGGCGGGGUAAAAGCCCACCAAGGCGACGAUCCGUAGCUGGUCUGAGAGGACGAUCAGCCACACUGGGACUGAGACACGGCCCAGACUCCUACGGAGGCAGCAGUGGGGAAUCUUGCGCAAUGGGCGAAAGCCUGACGCAGCGACGCCGCGUGAGGGAAGAAGGCCUUCGGGUUGUAAACCUCUUUCAGGAGGGACGAAGCCACUCGGGUUAACUAGCCCAGAGGGUGACGGUACCUCCAGAAGAAGCCCCGGCUAACUACGUGCCAGCAGCCGC